AGAUUGAACGCUGGCGGCAUGCCUAACACAUGCAAGUCGAGCGGCAGCGCGGGGGCGACCCUGGCGGCGAGCGGCGGACGGGUGAGUAAGGCAUCGGAAUCUGCCCUGAUGUGGGGGAUAACGUAGGGAAACUUACGCUAAUACCGCAUACGACCGAGAGGUGAAAGCGGGGGACCGAAAGGCCUCGCGCAGCAGGAUGAGCCGAUGUCCGAUUAGCUGGUUGGUGGGGUAACGGCCCACCAAGGCGACGAUCGGUAGCUGGUCUGAGAGGAUGAUCAGCCACGACUGGGACUGAGACCACGGCCCAGACGUCCUACGGGAGGCAGC
RNAcentral lists this ribosomal RNA (327 nucleotides) under uncultured prokaryote. RNAcentral describes it as "bacterial SSU rRNA". It matches the Rfam family "Bacterial small subunit ribosomal RNA", at positions 26 to 352 of the family's 1533-position model. The record is from RNAcentral.